This 180-nucleotide non-coding RNA is filed under the name Syntrophobacter sp. SbD1. RNAcentral describes it as "6S". It matches the Rfam family "6S / SsrS RNA". Rfam says of the family: E. coli 6S RNA was the first non coding RNA to be sequenced, but its function was unknown until recently. It consists of 184 nucleotides that fold into an extended hairpin structure with a large single-stranded internal bulge. The record is from RNAcentral. Lineage: Bacteria; Pseudomonadati; Thermodesulfobacteriota; Syntrophobacteria; Syntrophobacterales; Syntrophobacteraceae.
UUGCCCCUGCUGUGUUCGUGAUUGGUAGAAUGUUUCUGAGCCAACAUAUACUGAAAGGGAGCCCUUCCUUACUCUGGUGUGCAUAUCAGCUUCGGCUGGAAGCCUAAAGGAGUUAUAGGGCGCCCACCUGAACCUAAGGUUCUAAGACCACCUGUCAACACGGCACGAAGCGGGGGCAAC